RNAcentral lists this ribosomal RNA (492 nucleotides) under uncultured bacterium. Its description in RNAcentral is "partial 16S ribosomal RNA". It matches the Rfam family "Bacterial small subunit ribosomal RNA", at positions 29 to 507 of the family's 1533-position model. The record is from RNAcentral.
AGUGAACGCUGGCGGUAGGCCUAACACAUGCAAGUCGAACGGAAGCACAGUAAGAGCUUGCUCUUACGGGUGGCGAGUGGCGGACGGGUGAGGAAUACAUCGGAAUCUACUUUUUCGUGGGGGAUAACGUAGGGAAACUGACGCUAAUACCGCAUACGACCUACGGGUGAAAGCAGGGGAGCUUCGGACCUUGCGCGACUGAAUGAGCCGAUGCCGGAUUAGCUAGUUGGCGGGGUAAAGGCCCACCAAGGCGACGAUCCGUAGCUGGUCUGAGAGGAUGAUCAGCCACACUGGAACUGAGACACGGUCCAGACUCCUACGGGAGGCAGCAGUGGGGAAUCUUGGGCAAUGGGCGCAAGCCUGAUCCAGCCAUACCGCGUGGGUGAAGAAGGCCUUCGGGUUGUAAAGCCCUUUUGUUGGGAAAGAAAAGCAGCAGGUUAAUCCCCCGCUGUUCUGACGGUACCCAAAGAAUAAGCACCGGCUAACUUCGUG